This 125-nucleotide non-coding RNA is filed under the name Paenibacillus illinoisensis. Lineage: Bacteria; Bacillati; Bacillota; Bacilli; Caryophanales; Paenibacillaceae. The record is from RNAcentral.
GUUCAAUGAAUAUAUUUAUAAGAUGAUAAACAUUCGGAAUAUGACGUUUGCAUUAACUAUGAUCGUUCACUAUAAGUUAUCGAUCGCAGAAAAGCUCCUGCCACAUAUGUGGCAGGAGCUUUUUU